UCCUUUUUGUGUGGCUUAUAAUAAUUGUCUUCCCUUUUCCUUGUACCCUUUUGGUUUCUUGAUCAUUAGGAGACAAUUAAAGAAUCAUGGCUCUGUUUUGUUAUAUAGCUGCUCUUGAAAUGGGCUAUUCGCUAAUGUUUGAUCUCUAAUUAGUUUUGACUUUGAAAUGGGCUAUUAGCUAGUGUUUGAUCUCUAAUUAGUUUUAUCUUUCUCUGUGGGCCUUUUCAGGGUUGCUUAG
RNAcentral lists this unclassified non-coding RNA (238 nucleotides) under Hevea brasiliensis (rubber tree). The record is from RNAcentral. Lineage: Eukaryota; Viridiplantae; Streptophyta; Magnoliopsida; Malpighiales; Euphorbiaceae.